GCGAACGCUGGCGGCAGGCUUAACACAUGCAAGUCGAGCGGGCGUAGCAAUACGUCAGCGGCAGACGGGUGAGUAACGCGUGGGCACGUCCCUUUUGGUUCGGUACAACACAGGGAAACUUGUGAUAAUACCGGAUACGCCCUUACGGGGAAAGAUUUAUCGCCGAAAGAUCGGCCCGCGUCUGAUUAGCUAGUUGGUGAGGUAAUGGCUCACCAAGGCGACGAUCAGUAGCUGGUCUGAGAGGAUGAUCAGCCACAUUGGGACUGAGACACGGCCCAAACUCCUACGGGAGGCAGCAGUGGGGAAUAUUGGACAAUGGGCGCAAGCCUGAUCCAGCCAUGCCGCGUGAGUGAUGAAGGCCCUAGGAUUGUAAAGCUCUUUUGUGCGGGAAGAUAAUGACGGUACCGCAAGGAUAAGCCCCGGCUAACUUCGU
Molecule: ribosomal RNA, 433 nt
Filed under: uncultured bacterium
Lineage: Bacteria
Description: bacterial SSU rRNA
Rfam family: Bacterial small subunit ribosomal RNA
Source: RNAcentral